Molecule: non-coding RNA, 4604 nt
Organism: Struthio camelus australis
Lineage: Eukaryota; Metazoa; Chordata; Aves; Struthioniformes; Struthionidae
Source: RefSeq, a predicted model, not a curated record
UGCCAGUUCUGCUGCUCUACGCUAACCUCUGUGAGACGGACCUCAAUCUGCAGCUCAGCUGGUCCCCCAACACACACACGCACACACACACCCCUUCAAACAAAGGACAGCCAAAAAAGAACAGUUCUGCCAAGAAAGAGUCUGUAUCUCCUGGUGCUGAGACCAAAGCCCCUACAGGACUUCGGGCAGGAGAGCCGCCAGAAUAGCAGUGGACUCUGGGAUGUGUCAGCCAACACAAAACAAAACCCUUCUCUGGAGCUACAGCUUUUACGUGCUGAAUGCAAGGCAAAGGGCCUUAAGUAAAUAAUAAGCCUGUUCAAUGGCUAAGUAUGCUGAGCGUAACAAAUACUGGAGUAGAGUGCCGGUUGCACUGUAAAGAUCAAAAGCAUGUUUGCACUUAAAGGUUGGCAUUUCUGAGCACUCUAAAAUCCACAGACUUAGCAUGAAGUACAAGCACAUGACAACAAGGAUCCAGCAGCUUAAAACUUUCUGGCUUAUUAGUUGAGGCACAGUAACAUUAUGUGUUUGUACUCAGAUUACUCCAGCUACAAAUCCCAGCACGUUUUAUGCCAGUCGUUACCCCACACCCGGGGCAGGUUAAGAGCGUAUACGUAGUUAGCAAUAGCUUCAGCCGCUGCGCGGUCACCUCUGAGGCCACGUCCUCUGGAUUGUUUUCAUUUCUGUGCUCAUCCUGCGAACGAGCUUUAAAAAGUGCUGCGCUGCGUGGCAGUAGUCAGGUUGGCUUCUGCCUUGGGCACAGGGGACGAACAACGUGAGAAGAACACGUACAGCGCUGGGCACAUCCAGGCUGGAAGGGAAUUGUAAAUAUGAGCGAGAGGGAAGUACGGUCUAGCAGGUGUGCUCUUUCUGCGGGAAAGAGUAAGUGCUUGGCCACAGGACAGAGCGUGUCUGGGUGCUCAGUACCGUACAGCAGCAGCGUGAGACUGUGUACACUUACCGGCAUGCCGAUGCGUAGCGGACAUGAAGACCGCGUGAGGAAUUAGUUCCCUGUUUUCAGAGGUCUGAGUUCUGCUGACGAGACACACAAUAUCAUUAAGCAUUUUUAAUACUGGUAAUGAUUUUUUUUUUGUCCUAGAAUACACUAAAAGACAGUUACUUGGAUAUCUAGGCAUGCUCUAGACAUUAACUCUAAAUCUAAUCUAAAUGACUGCAAAUUUUAAUACCUCAUACCCUUUACUAGGUAUGAGUAGUAUUACUAGGUACUUUCAACAGGAGCAACUGAUAGCCUAGAAGAUGAACUGCUGGAGCACUGAAUACGCCAAACCAGAGGGCAUAAGCAGCCCAUCUCUGCAAUACAUAUCUGAUCUCCCUAGCUAGCCAUUUGUGAGGGCUCAGAGGAAGGUGGUAGAAACUUGAGGACCCUAAUGGAAUAAUCUUACAUCAGAGGAGGAUUUUCUUGGAUGAGUUUUGCAAGGAAAUGCGUGAUCCUUUCCUUCUGCGGAUGUUUGUGUAAGCAUAUGCAUCUGUCUGCCUGUCCACCUGUCAUUCCCUCAGUAAUCGCUGUACCCAUUGGCCAAGUUCAAUCAAAUAUGACAAAGCCAGAUAAUGCUCAAAGAUACUAAGCUUCUAGAAAUUUCAUUAAACAGGUAGCCAGGAAGAAGAGAGGGGCCCUAUUAAUUUCCCCUUGUAGAGGAAGGACUCUAAUGGAUCUCAGCCUCUAUUAAACACCAAAGAACGCACAUGAGAACUGACCCUUGUGACAGAGAUCUGGAAGAAAUAGAUUUCAUCGGUCUCAUUACCCGUGGAAUUGCUUACUUUUAAUUAUUAUUAUGUAUAUGAUAAUGUCUGUGAAUCCAUAUCACAUGCUGCGGUAGUGCAGCACAAAUAUUGAAAUCUCAGGCUUUUGGGAUAUGGUUUAUGUCCAGGGGCAUUAGAGUUUGUAAAUUUUCAUUUCCUCCAGCCUCAUAAACUCUGAGAGGUUUGGUGACAGGAAGGUAAAGGUGCCUUUCUGUGGAGCCCAGUGGUGGCAGUAAGAGUCUCAGGUCUGAAAUGAUUUUUUUGACUGUAUAACUAGUAUUCAGAAUAGCCCAGCAUAGACUAGGAUAUCAUACAACACUUCUCAGACCUUCCAAAGGUAUACUGGCUUUAUUUUUUUAUUAUUAUUUUUUUAAUGCCUAUGCAUAUAGCCCAAAAAAGCAAUGACUCCUGGCCCAUAUCUUACAGGAAACAGGGCCCAUGCAACCUCCUGCCAUCACAGAGGGCCACAAGGAACUACCAUCGCUUAGCACAAAAUGAAUGGAAAACACUGUGCGAUAUGAUAGCACAUGUGCUCACUCAGACUUGUGGCCUAUAAACUUGCAAAGAUUCUGGGCUACUCUCCUACAUGUUAUCAACGUUUGUAUGGAUGACUAUUUUUAAAUGUUAAGUUCCUGGCCUCAAAAUCUCUUAGUCACAGGCUCCUUGGGUUCAUGAUGUGCUGCACUUGUAAAGUAUUCCAUUUUUCAAGAUGUUCCUUUUCAAUUUUCUAUUUAUAAAAGGUGUUAGAAAGCCUCUGGGUUUUUUUUUUUGGCUAGUCUUUUCUUUGUAUAUCAGUACAUUUUUAACUGCUUACGUAUUUUCAGCAAGUGGCUUUCAAAUUUACCCAUGUCUUUUUCUGAGGCUGUCUACUUGUAAGUUAAACUCCAUGAAUCUCAGUUAAACAGUUAAAGCAGUUUGUUUAAAGGACUUUUGCAUUAAAAACCAUAAUGACUAGCAGAUGAAAGUAAUAUCAUGCUAAUAAUCCAUAACCCAAACUAUAAAACAGACAGAGAAAUAAUAAGAUAAUAUUAAAGAUUAUUAAAAGUAUUAACAACUUGCCAGCCACCUGUUUUCAAAGAUUAAAACUUUCCAUAACCUUCCUUUGCUCUUCUUCAUACAAACUCCUGCAACAAAUCUGUGUUUGAGGUACUGGAGAAAACUGGAUUCUACAAACAAUUUAAAUAUGAAAAAGAAAAAAAAAAGAAAUGAUGCAUCUUACCCUAUGGAAAUUAUUGAUCAAAAGAAGGCUUUAAUCUCAAAAUGCUUCACACAAGGCAGCACCAGUAAGCUUGAAGAGGCCAAUGGCAGAAAACACUUCGGAAAAGAGAAGUUCUUGGUGCUGAAAGAGUUGGCCAGAGCAUCAGCGCUUUAGCCAGCAUGCGUCGGGGUGAACAUGUUUUCUCUGCUGCUUUUGAACCAGGCUGAGACUAUGAUGACGCCUAUAACAGCGAGCAACUAGAGGCCGGCUCCUCUUCUACAGGAAACUCCUUUCAAGCCAGUACUGAUACUUGCAUGAGUAACAAGCGUGUGCGCUAAUAAAGACUGCAUGGCUAGCAUUAAUAUCAAAUUCAAAAGCUCAGGUCAUUACUUCAAUCUAGUUACAGGGUGUGAAUAUUGUAGGAUCUGCACAGUUCCUCCCAGGUACCCCUUCAAGACAGAAAUAAGAGAAUUCUCUCUAUCUAGCUGCAACAAAAAAUUCCUCCAGUGAAUGAUUUUUUUCCCAAAGAAUGAAUCGCUGUGUGGACUGUGCCAUGUAGCUUUGCUGGAGUAGCUAGAGAGAGACGUGCACUGGAACCAGAGAAAGCUCAGGAGCACUCAGGAGAGCUUGAAUGAUAAAUAUGUAUGAGUUCAUGUAAAAAAUAAGCCCGAUAUUAAUAAAACCAAAAUCUGAGAAGGUCUGCUGCUGAGUCAUGCAGAGCACCCUUUGCCAAAUGCUUCAGCUAAGAAAUUAUUCUGCAUAAAGUUGAAAGCCUGCCACAAAACAAACACUUUCAAAUUCCACCCUGAAGAGCAGCGGUGAUACCAUCAUUAUUCUAAUCCCGUUACUUCAAAGAUAUGUUAGCUCUUGUUGGGCAGUCUCCUAGGCACUUUCAAGGAAAUGGCACAGAAAACGUGUAAAUGGGGAAAAGAAAAGAUAUUGGUGGAAUUCCACUGCCGAAUAAAAUGCAAGUAGUUUAAAGUACAUAUGCUUUGGGGAGGUGUAUUAACUGCUCACUUCAGUAUUUGCUUAAAUGUAUAACUUCUCUUGCUUUAGGUCUUACAAGACUUUUUGUCUCCAUCAUUUUAGGCAUUUUGAGGCUAUUUCAAAGAUUUUUCAUCAAAAUAUUUAUAAUUCCAAAAGAAAUAAGCAUGGGAACCCCUAGUUAUGCAAACGGGUACUGAUACUUGCAGAUGUGUACAUAGUUAUGCAUAGUUAUGCAUCCCCCACAGAUGGCAGGGGAUGACAGUACCACCGAUGAUUUAAACUAGCCUUAUAGGAUUCUCUGAGUUAUAGGCAACACACAGGAUAAAUUUCCAGUACAAUGUAUGAAGAUUUAGUGAUAACAGAAUCAUGGGCAUUGUUUUUGAUAAAUCACCCUUCUGAAUAAUUGCAAAAAGCUGAAGGUCUGUAGUUGUUUUCAAACACAUACCUAACCAAAUGCAAUUGCAAGCUCUUUCUAAAUAUACGAAGGUCCAUACAAUGCUGAUUCAAACAGUGUCCUCACUCUCGCUGAAUAUGAAUGCGUUAUUUCUUCAUGGCUUUGUAUAUGAGCAGAUGCAAUAAAUGUCGGCUUUGUUGGGAGUCACUGUGUCCAUGCGUCACCAUCAGCAAUUCAGAUAGAUAAAUAUUUUUCAAUGGUCAGAAU